Molecule: ribosomal RNA, 245 nt
Filed under: uncultured bacterium
Lineage: Bacteria
Description: partial 16S ribosomal RNA
Rfam family: Bacterial small subunit ribosomal RNA
Source: RNAcentral
CACGCUGUAAACGUUGAGAACUAGAUAUGGUGGGGCUGGCCCCCUCCGUGUCCAAGCAAACGCGAUAAGUUCUCCGCCUGGGGACUACGGCCGCAAGGCUAAAACUCAAAGGAAUUGACGGGGGCCCGCACAAGCGGUGGAGCAUGUUGCUUAAUUCGAGGCAACGCGAAGAACCUUACCCAGGUUUGACAUUAAUAUGACCGGUGGUGAAAGCCGCCUUCCCUUCGGGGCAUAUCAACAGAUGC